This 634-nucleotide ribosomal RNA is filed under the name uncultured bacterium. RNAcentral's name for it is "bacterial SSU rRNA". It matches the Rfam family "Bacterial small subunit ribosomal RNA", at positions 8 to 650 of the family's 1533-position model. The record is from RNAcentral.
AGAGUUUGAUCCUGGCUCAGGAUGAACGCUAGCGGCAGGCCUAAUACAUGCAAGUCGAACGGUGAUAGCAAUAUCAUAGUGGCGCACGGGUGCGUAACACGUAUGCAACCUACCUAUUAUUGGGGGAUAGCCUUUGGAAACGGAGAUUAAUACCGCAUAAUACGUUUGACUGGCAUCGGUUGAUUGUUAAAGCUUUGGCGAUAAUAGAUGGGCAUGCGUCCAAUUAGUUAGUUGGUUAGGUAACGGCUGACCAAGACGAUGAUUGGUAGGGGAUCUGAGAGGAUAAUCCCCCACACUGGCACUGAGAUACGGGCCAGACUCCUACGGGAGGCAGCAGUAGGGAAUAUUGGGCAAUGGGCGGAAGCCUGACCCAGCCAUGCCGCGUGCAGGAAGAAGGCGUUAUGCGUUGUAAACUGCUUUUUUAUAGGAAGAAGGAUCCCUUGCGAGGGAAGGUGACGGUACUAUAAGAAUAAGCACCGGCUAACUCCGUGCCAGCAGCCGCGGUAAUACGGAGGGUGCAAGCGUUGUCCGGAUUUAUUGGGUUUAAAGGGUGCGUAGGCGGUUUAUUAAGUCAGUGGUGAAAGACGGUCGCUCAACGAUUGCAGUGCCAUUGAUACUGGUAGACUUGCGUGAG